GCAAAACGCGAAGAACCUUACCAGGGCUUAAAUGUAUAAUGACAGGGGUGGAAACACCUUUUCUUCGGACAGUAUGCAAGGUGCUGCAUGGCUGUCGUCAGCUCGUGCCGUGAGGUGUCAGGUUAAGUCCUAUAACGAGCGCAACCCUUAUCGCUAGUUGCCAGCGUUUCAAGACGGGGACUCUAGCGAGACUGCCAACGCAAGUUGCGAGGAAGGUGGGGACGACGUCAAGUCAUCACGGCCCUUACGUCUUGGGCGACACACGUGCUACAAUGGCCGGUACAGAGGGCAGCUACCACGCGAGUGGAUGCGAAUCUCGAAAGCCGGUCUCAGUUCGGAUUGGAGUCUGCAACUCGACUCUAUGAAGCUGGAAUCGCUAGUAAUCGCAUAUCAGCCAUGAUGCGGUGAAUACGUUCCCGGGUCUUGUACACACCG
Molecule: ribosomal RNA, 435 nt
Filed under: uncultured bacterium
Lineage: Bacteria
Description: bacterial SSU rRNA
Rfam family: Bacterial small subunit ribosomal RNA
Source: RNAcentral